This is a long non-coding RNA of Ictalurus furcatus (blue catfish), 2381 nucleotides long. RefSeq lists it as uncharacterized. The record is from RefSeq and is a predicted model, not a curated record. The transcript is spliced from 4 exons. NCBI's taxonomy places the organism in Eukaryota, Metazoa, Chordata, Actinopteri, Siluriformes, Ictaluridae.
CUUUGACUUUUGAAGUGGCUGGAAUUAGAAUGUCCUAAAUAAAAGCUGCAUCUCAGGGACAGAGUGGGACCCAUUUUCAGCUCGGGAGUUUAAUGCCCAAGACCAGCCCUUUUUUUUUUUCGUGGUGGAAGAACUUGGAUAAAUGAAGUGACAGUUCAGUUCUUUCUAUCCUGCUAUAUUUAUUACUAACAUGUUUCAACAAGUGUGUGUGUGUAUAUAUAUCAUAACAAAUAACAUACUGUGUAUUCUGUUCUGCUACAAAAAGUCCAACUUUAACAUUAUGAAAAAAAAUGUUGGUUCAAACAAAUAUGAAGUCACAUUUGUUUAUAUCUCCAUGGUAACAACCUGUGUGUUGUGUGUGUGUGUGUGUGCAUGAGAGAGAGAGAGAGAGCGAGCGCAGGUGGCGAUCUGAGCCAAGUGACAGAGAAGUGGUACAUCUGCCGUCCCAAUUUAUGAGUGGCCCACCGGGAAUUCUCCCGAUUAGCCUCUACGGCUGGUCCAUCUGAAAAAUGAUACACGCAUCGAUGUUUACGCAUGGCAUCAGUACAUCGGCUCAUUGGUUAUUUGAUCGAUAUAACAGUACAUGUCGAUGGAUCAUUACACCCCUAGUAAUUACAGAUGAACAGGGUUUCUCCCACAAAACUCUCCCAACGCCCUCUACAGUCCUCAGGGAGCUCUGAAAAUAUUCAACAAAGAAAAAGAGAGAGAGAGAGAGAGAGAGAGAGAAAAAGAGAGUUGUAGCCUAUCCAAAAACAUCAUUAAAACAAUGCCAUUCUUAUACACCCACAAAAAAAUUGUAGGCUUGGGGCAGAACUGCUGCAAAGUCUAAAAUGCGCACAAACAUUCCCUCAUUUAAACUGACUAAUAGAUGCAUUUGAAGUAAAUAUAUCAGGACAGUGAUAUUUUUCAAAAUGCAGCUUUUUUUUGGCUGAAAUACAAGCAAUUAAAGCUCUCCAUCACCUCAGAUACCUCGUUACUCUCCUUUUAACUGAGAAAAACUGAAAUGAGUUUCCGCUGUUAGAUGUUUUUAUUACAGUUACCACAUUAGCCUCAAAUGGGAAGGAAAAAAAGGAAGGAUAAGCACAAAACUCAGAGGAAAAAGAUGGCUAUGAUGCUGGAUCUCUCACUCACACUCACCUUUGAUGAGAUCACUAAUCUGAGACUGGACAUGUCCUUUCUCCAGGUUCUGUACCACAGUGUUGGCGAUUCUAGUCAGAUGACCCAUGUUACCUCUCCUGGUCCCACCCUCAGCUCUAGAGAUAUUAGAGGCCAUAAAACCAACAGCGUCCAGAAUCCUUUGCACCAGGCGACACUGUUGGAAGAGCUGCACAAUACACACAGACAGAACGACAGGCUGGACUAUUAGCACAAUGACACAUUUCAAUACAAUCAGCAGCGGCUCAUGACCAUAAAGUUUAGAGAAACCCUUUAAUAGCCAGUUGAAAGUCGACAACAAAGUUAUCCAGCGUACAGUCUAGCAGCUGAGCAGGAUGUUAUAACCCAUGUAGAUUUAACUCAGAUUAAGGAAGAGAAAACAAGUUAAAAUCAAACUACAUAGCAAUAAGAAAUUAUUACCAUGGCUAAAUAAACUAAAAUGAAUCCAAAACAUUAAAUUACUGUUUAAAACUGUUGGCUUCUUAAACUGACCAGAAAGAAAAGACUUCUGAAAAGAGUGAGAAACUUUGGCAGACAGGACACUAGCCUCCGACUGAAGACUUUUGUGGCUGAGACAAUUUCAGCCAGAGGCGUUAAUCAGGAUGUCUGCGUGAGGGUUUGAUUAAUUAAUUAGUAAUUUAAAAUUAAAAAUUAAUAUAUAUAUUUUUAUCUCCACCCAUAUCUGGGCAAGAACACCACCCAAAUGGGCUGCUUGCACUGAAGACUAUUAUACACUUCCGUUUUGAAAUUGUUCAGUUCUCAAGUUUCAACAUGAUGAAAAUGAGUGUUCAUAAGACAACAGCUUCCCAGCUCAGUGACCUGACAGGAGAUGACCGUUAACAAACCUACGUCAUGACCACUUCAUCGUUUCCACUCAUACAAAGGCAGAUACUUCAUACCAGAUCAGCUAGACGAACCCAAAACCACAGAGGGUCAGAGAAGACCGGCAAAAAGUACAGUGCCGUCGCUCUUUGAAAUGAAACGGCUACAGAAUUCGCUUAAUACGACCCAGUGUGUGGGAGAGAAAGGCACUGGAUAAGAAUAAACACCAAAUAUUGUACCUUAUUAUUAUUAUUAUUAUUAUUAUUAAAUUACUAAUACAUUUACAUGCUGAUAACAUGUCGAACAUGCAAUAGCGAUAUUUAAUUUUGGGUUAUCAUGAAAAACCCCCCCAAAAAAGACAGACUGACAUAAAUCGUCAAAGAAAUCCACAAUAAUAAUUUAAU